AUGAAAUGCAAACAAAAAGCAUGAAAAGAAAACAAAACAAAACGCGCAAUGAAUGCAUUUGGCCUGGCCUAAAAUUAGGCCGCCGCAUUCAUUGUAGUUGCAACUGGGCUGGUUGGCCGUCGUCGGGUGUUUAGCUCUGUCCUUUUGCUUGGGGUUUGUUUGCAGACGCCAAGUUUUAAUAAAAAUGUCGUUGAACUGCUCACAUAUUUGGCACCACAGACCACCGUCGUCAUCGUUUCGUUUUAUAUAUGUUUAUAAUAAUUACAGAGAUAUACGAGCAGCCAAUUGACCACCUCUGGCGUUCAGCUUGUCAUCAUCUGAUUCGUGUAAUUAAAAUUUAAAUUUAAAGUAAAAAAGCAACGUUGACAGAUCCAUUAGAGUUCAAGUUUAUUACAACAAGUUCAUCAGACUUGUAGCAGAUAGCAAUAAAAAGCUAAUAUGGAAACUUUUAGGAAAACUGUGGAAAGUCCUAUUGAGAAACAAUAAUCGAUUGCGUUCAUAAGGAAGCUGGAUUGGCCGGGUUGUGGAAAUAAUGGAAACUUAAUAUAAAAAAAACUUUGGGUGGCAAAUAAUGCCCGACUUCUAGGAAUCUCAAAAUCUGUCGGAUACAUUAUAUAUUCAAAAUUGUUUUGUAAAGUGGAUUUUUAAAUGGAAACCAAAAUGAUACUGUUAAAAUACCGGUUUUAACGGUUGUAGCCGGUAAUUUUACAUUUUUAUAAUUCUACAUAAACAAUAAACUUUAAGACUUCAAAAUUCCAAAUAACAACUAAUUCGUAAAAGGCCUUAAAAAUGAACCAAAGAAGCAACACGAAAUGUAUUUUGGUGGAAAAUUGUUGUAGAAAUCUUCAAAAUGUCGAACAUUAAGAGAUGCAGCUAUAUGAGGGAUAUAAUGGACUCAUUGUUAUUUGAGAAUCCAAAUUGAUAUUUUUCAUUUAAAAUCUUCAAAAUAUUUUAGAUCGGAACGUUAACUAAAAAAAUAACAAACUUUGAAAAUUCUGUUGGAAAAUGUGGCUAAAUUUUAUUUAAGAAAAACGUAGACAUGUACUGCAACCAACUUCAGGCAGCGUAGGAAGAAAACAGCAACAUUAGGAGAAAUGGUUCGAAAAGUAAAGAAACACUUGAUCGAAACCCACGCCUCAGUGCCCGAAGAAUGGCUCCUGAGCUGAACAUAUCGCAAUAUUCCUGUCGGCAAAUAUUGAAAAAUGAGCUCGGGGUCAAGCAAUUGAAAUUCCAAAAAGUGCAAGAACUUACACCGCAACAGAAAGAAAAUAGACUCAAAAGAGCUAAAGAGUUGCUUCGCUUGGCCGAAAGUGGUGAACUGCCGAAUUUGGUUUUCUCUGAUUAGAAAACAUUCGCUUCAUUUCCAGCGCACAAUGGCUCCGGAUACCAAUCCGUUGGACUAUUGUGUCCGGAGUAUUUUGGAAACCUAGGUUGGCACUAAAAAAUACCAAAGUGUCGAUCAAUUCAAACAACCGCUUAGACGGGAAUGGGUCAUUGGCCGUUUAAAGGCCAUAUUUCGGGCCGUACAAAUCUAAACCUUUUUUAAAAUUUGAUGCUAUUUCCUGCAUUUUUUGCUUGGGAUUACCCACCCCCGAUAUAGUCUCUUACAGUUGUAUCAGGCAGUCACCCUAACCUUUUAUAAGUACAGAUAUGUGCUAGACAGAGCAUGUAAAAAUUAUUUUGUGAUUGUACGUGUUUUUAAUUAACCAAGCUAAAUGAAAUCAGUCGGUUUUGCCGAAUGCUUCAUGCCGUUAGCCAAUGUUCGGUUAUUAAAAUAUAUUUGGAAUUGCGUUAUGAUUAUUCAUACUGUUGACCCUUCAUAAGAGAGGUUCCAAAGGAAUGGACCAAUUUGGAUAUUUUCCCUUUCGUAUCUGACAAAAGUCUGAUAAAAAUAUUAAAGCGUAUCAGAUUUGGAUUUUAUAUUGACUACUGGCUUCCCUUUAAAUUAGAUAUUUUAUAAUAUUUCGAAAAGUUCGCGUUCUAUGAGAGCUAUAAGUAUUUAUAUUUUGACCCAUUGUGCGGCAGAUACCAGAAGGAGUAGUCCGAUAUUGCCCAUCUUCACAACACAUCUGGUGUUGAUGGAAGUAUUGGCAUGUGCCGAGUUUGAAAGUAAUCGGAUGCUGCUUUUGUGUUUUAUGUGCUUAAUGUUCAUUCCAAAUUUGACCGUUUGUAGGGAGGUACUAGACGAAGUGACCCGUUCAGUCCGUUCUUCAUACCAGACCUUGUGUUCGUGGAAAUAUUGUAAUGUGCGAAAAUUGAAGAUAAUCGGACUCUUAGUUACGAGCUUCAUUUUUACGAGCCUCGUGGUUAUUCACAAUUUUGACACUUUAUGAGGGAGGUACCUGAAGGAGUGGACCGAUAUAUUUUGUCUUCAUUCGAAGACAAUCAUACUCUCACAUCACAUUUUAUAAGAGUUAUAAUAAUUAAAAAUUUUGACACUCUGUGGGGGAGGUACCGGAUGGAGUAGAGCGACAUUGUCCUAGCACUGAUGCAAAUAUACGGAUUCGCAAAGUUGGAGCAAAACCUAAAAAUCUAACAUCUAAAUUGGUAUACAAAUUUGUCGGAUGGAAAAUUUAUUGAGGAAAGAUAAAUUUAUACAACUGUAAGUUUUCCAAUUUAGGAAAUAAUGUCUCAAUAUAGCAUUUUAUAUUUAUGUAUUCCAAUAAUUCUAACGGUGUAUUCAGAAAAAUAUACGACAGCACCUUCCUCAUCCACUACUUGAAAACACACAGACAUCCCGUGAGACUCUCUUUGCUUGCCGAACUGGAUCAACUCUAAAGCUUAUGUUUUUCUCAAGAAAAUUAUUUUAUACAAAGAUAGUAGUAGUAAAAUGUGUUGUGUCCUAAUUAGGAAGUUUUAAGUUUACAAUUAUGCUCUAAAUAAGUUAUGUUUUCCAAUUUUAAUAUCCAAUCCAGGCUCAGAGCAUUAAAUGGUCCUCUCCUCAGUUACUCAUAUGGACUUAACAACUUGUUUACUUUUUAUUUCAAGUAUUAAUGUGUCACCCACAACAAAGUUUUUUUUUUUGUGUUUGGCUCACAAUUAUUUACACCACAACAUUUUCCCUGCAACAACACCAUCUGCUUCCUGCUCCCAAUCUUUUGUUGUCUCGAAUCAGAGAAAAUGGAAAUGCUUUUCCAUUUUAGUGCACUCGUAACAUAUUCAUUUCAUUUUUUCGUCGUCUUCUCAAGAAACUCCAUUCAUUCAUUCAUCCAUCUUCUCCUUUAUUUUUUAUGCCACAGCUAAAGCAAAGUCGUUCUACUCCAGUUUCUAUAACAAAUGCGGCAGUUAGUUGCAGUUGCAUGCAUCCAUAAAAUGGAGUAGCGCUUUUGAAAUGCAUGGAACCACACUUCCAACGUCCACUCUUUUUUGUUGUUUGUUUGCUCCGUUGGAUAUGUUGGAUAUUUACAUACCAUGGCGGUUAUGGUUUGAAACUUUGCUUUUGUUGUUUCCUCGAAAUCUUAAAGAAACUCACGUUGCUGCUUUUUGUCGUUUCUGGUUGCUCCAAUUGUCUAAAGAAUUGUGUUUGGUUUUUGUCGAUAUUUUUUUGACAACUUCCAUGAGGAAAAGCAGCAUGAUGAAUCGGAAAAAAAACGGAAAAGAAAAAGGUCAACAAUCGGGUCACAUGGCAUGACAAGCGGAGAGUAAACAAUAGGAGCUGUGUAACCUAAAGAAAAACAACACGAUUAUAGGCGCUUUUUCCUUUAUAGAUUUUUUUUUAACAUUUUAUGUUCAACAUUAAGAAAAUCCAAAUCACAGUGGUUAAUACCCAUUACGAACUUCAAAUACGAAAUUUGUUACAAUUGCGGUAAAUAAUGUCGCUAAAAUCAUUAAAAUAACGAGUAUCGGAAGGUAUCGUUAUAUGGGAGCUAUACGAAGACGUGGACCUGCAUACACAAAUUCAUAGGCUGCAGUGCCCAUUACGAACUUUAAAUAUGAAAUUUGAAAUAAUUUCGGUAAAUAGUGUCGCUAAAAUCAUUCAAAUGCCGAAAUUCGGGAGGUACCGUUAUAUGGGGGCUAUACGAAAGCGUGGACCGACAUCGUCCAUUUACUAAUUUCACCUGCCUACUUGUAAACUAUGCAUGUAUGCUAAAUUUUAGCCUUCAAUCUCAAUUUGUUCGAAAGCUAGCGUGAUUACAACAGAUAGACGGAGAGACACAGAAAAUAUAUACUUUGAAUGGUCCAUUAUGAAUAUUUUGAUGAGUUACAAACUGAAUGACAAAGCUAAUAUACCCUCCAUAGAAUGGUGGAUGGUAUGAAAAUAUAGGAGCAAGCCAGACACUUUUCUCAUAUGAAUCCACUGUACAGCUAUAUUUUAAUUUAUAUCUGCCGCCUUGGAGUUUUUCGAAUGACACAAAAUCACGGAUUCCUCUAGCAACUGACCCAAGCAUUUCUCAUUGAUGUGUUAAACAGCAGAACAGUCGAUUCCACAUAAAUUGUAUCAAAAAAUUUCAAAAACUUGUUGUUAAACCCUCCAAUAUUAUCUGAAUCAGCUGAGGAUUAUUUCCAGAACGGCAUCGAUUCGGAACGAACUAUUUCAAAAUAUUAAAUAACAAUAGCACUGAAAGGCUUAGACUUUUAAAUUCUACUUUAUUUUCAUUUACCACUCAAAAAAAAAUUGUUAGGAUUUGCGUGCUUUGGAGGGAGAGUGAAAUCCGCUCGAGCAGAUUCUACUGUCGUUGCUUACUCUAUUUUGAAUAUUUCGCCUCCCACUCUUAUUUUUCAAACAGAAGUAACUCUCAAGAUAUCCCACAUAAAACCAGGAGGUGAUCUUAUACAGAAAAAUACACAUGCAUAGAUAUCCAACAACGGUAUGACAAGAGCUAAAAAAGUGCUCGGCAAGACUAGAAUCUGUUCGAUUUUGGAAAAUUUUGCUCCCACUCAUAAACGAGGAAAAUGUGCUUACUUAUAUUCGAGCGACAUCGAAAAAUUUGCCCGAUUUUUUCUGCAACCUGGAUAGCAGUCGCUCGAAUUCCAGAGAGUUUCAUUCUUUAUAAAAAUUCGAGCGAGUUUUUCGGAGGUCUGCUCCGAACUGUCCAAAUUAGACCAAUCGCCUGGUCAUUAAAUAGAUGAUAAUUCCUAUUGUAGGCCUUAAAAAAAUUUUGAUUUAGCAAAGAGAAUAACUAAAGAAAAAAUAAGGUUUUCCAAUUACAUUAUUUUUUCUUUAGUUGUCCCGUGAUUUACUUACACCAAAUUGUCCUACAUUCUUUCAAAUAUGCCAAAUUUCGUUUAUCCAUAACUGACCGUAGUUGCAACUUAAUUCGUUUUGAGUUUCAAAUUCACUUUUCCUUACAAUGACAAUGGUCGUGAUAGAUUUCGGUAAUUUAAAGUUGAGUAUUUGGCCACACUUUUUUUGAAUGGACCAAAAAAUAACAUUUACUUUUGGUUUCGGUUCAACGUCGUUUUCAUUUCAGGUCACUUUAAUGAAAUCUAUUUUUCUCUUUUAUACUAAAAAAAUAUACACAAUUUUUUAACAUUUUUGUUUUUUUUUUGAAAUUUUUAGUGAUAUUUCAAAGUAAUGCU
Musca domestica (house fly) is the source of this 5520-nucleotide long non-coding RNA. RefSeq lists it as uncharacterized. Lineage: Eukaryota; Metazoa; Arthropoda; Insecta; Diptera; Muscidae. The transcript is spliced from 3 exons. The record is from RefSeq and is a predicted model, not a curated record.